This 1721-nucleotide ribosomal RNA is filed under the name Rotylenchulus reniformis. RNAcentral describes it as "SSU rRNA". It matches the Rfam family "Eukaryotic small subunit ribosomal RNA". The record is from RNAcentral. Lineage: Eukaryota; Metazoa; Nematoda; Chromadorea; Rhabditida; Hoplolaimidae.
GAAACUGCGAACGGCUCAUUACACCAGCCUUAAUUUACUUGACCUUGACACCCUACUUGGAUAACUGUGGUAAUUCUAGAGCUAAUACAUGCACCAAAGCUCCAAUCUCCCCAGAGCGAAGCGCAUUUGUUCGCCACAAAACCAAGCGCCUCAGGGCGUUCAGUGUUGACUCAGAACAACUAAGCUGAUCGCACGGUCUUGCACCGGCGACGUGUCUUUCAAGUGUCUGCCUUAUCAACUUUCGAUGGUAGUGUAUCUGACUACCAUGGUGAUGACGGGUAACGGAGGAUAAGGGUUCGACUCCGGAGAAGGGGCCUGAGAAAUGGCCACUACGUCUAAGGAUGGCAGCAGGCGCGCAAAUUACCCACUCUCGACGCGAGGAGGUAGUGACGAGAAAUAACGAGACCGUUCUCAUCUGAGGCCGGUCAUCGGAAUGGGUAUAAUUUAAACCCUUUAACGAGUAUCUAUGAGAGGGCAAGUCUGGUGCCAGCAGCCGCGGUAAUUCCAGCUCUCAAAAUGCAUAGAAUUAUUGCUGCGGUUAAAAAGCUCGUAGUUGGAUCUGUGCUGAGCGACCGGUCUGCCCACUGGGCACGCACUGGCUCGCCCGGCUUUCCCUGCCGGUCUCUCUCUGACGUUGGUUUUAACCGGCUGGCGUCAGUGGGCUGGCGAGUUUACUUUGAACAAAUCAGAGUGCUUCAAACAGGCGUCUCGCCUGAAUGUUCGUGCAUGGAAUAAUAGAAGAGGAUCACGGUCCGAUUUUAUUGGUUUUGCUGACCGAGAUAAUGGUUAACAGAGACAAACGGGGCCAUUCGUAUUGCUACGUGAGAGGUGAAAUUCUUGGACCGUAGCAAGACGGACUACAGCGAAAGCAUUUGGCAAGAAUGUCUUCAUUAAUCAAGAACGAAAGUCAGAGGUUCGAAGGCGAUCAGAUACCGCCCUAGUUCUGACCGUAAACGAUGCCAACUAGCGAUCCGCCGGCGGAUUCAUUCGCCCUGGUGGGGAGCUUCCCGGAAACGAAAGUCUUCCGGUUCCGGGGGAAGUAUGGUUGCAAAGCUGAAACUUAAAGGAAUUGACGGAAGGGCACCACCAGGAGUGGAGCCUGCGGCUUAAUUUGACUCAACACGGGGAAACUCACCCGGCCCGGACACCGUAAGGAUUGACAGAUUGAUAGCUUUUUCAUGAUUCGGUGGAUGGUGGUGCAUGGCCGUUCUUAGUUCGUGGAGCGAUUUGUCUGGUUUAUUCCGAUAACGAGCGAGACUCUGGCCUACUAAAUAGUUGGCACAUUGCCACUGUGUGCACAACUUCUUAGAGGGAUUUUCGGUGUUCAGCCGCACGAAAUUGAGCAAUAACAGGUCUGUGAUGCCCUUAGAUGUCCGGGGCUGCACGCGCGCUACACUGGCAAAAUCAGCGUGCUUGUCCUCCCCCGAAAGGGGUUGGUAAACCGAUGAAAAUUUGCCGUGAUUGGGAUCGGACAUUGCAAUUAUUGUCCGUGAACGAGGAAUCCCUUGUAAGGGCGAGUCAUCAACUCGUCCUGAAUACGUCCCUGCCCUUUGUACACACCGCCCGUCGCUGCCCGGGACUGAGCCAUUUCGAGAAAACCGGGGAUUGUUGGCCUGACGGCUCUCUGGUCGUCUAGCCGAUGAGAACCGGCUUAAUCGCACUGGUUUGAACCGGGCAAAAGUCGUAACAAGGUAGCUGUAGGUGAACCUGCAGCAGGAUCA